Molecule: ribosomal RNA, 439 nt
Filed under: uncultured bacterium
Lineage: Bacteria
Description: bacterial SSU rRNA
Rfam family: Bacterial small subunit ribosomal RNA
Source: RNAcentral
GCAAAACGCGAAGAACCUUACCUACUCUUGACGUCUAGCGAAGAUUGCAGAGAUGCAGUUGUGCCUUCGGGAACGCUAAGACAGGUGCUGCAUGGCUGUCGUCAGCUCGUGUUGUGAAAUGUUGGGUUAAGUCCCGCAACGAGCGCAACCCUUAUCCUUAGUUGCCAGCACGUAAUGGUGGGAACUCUAGGGAGACUGCCGGUGAUAAACCGGAGGAAGGUGGGGACGACGUCAAGUCAUCAUGGCCCUUACGAGUAGGGCUACACACGUGCUACAAUGGUACGUACAGAGGGAGGCAAGCUGGCGACAGUGAGCGGAUCUCUUAAAGCGUAUCGUAGUCCGGAUCGCAGUCUGCAACUCGACUGCGUGAAGUCGGAAUCGCUAGUAAUCGCAAAUCAGAAUGUCACGGUGAAUACGUUCCCGGGUCUUGUACACACCG